This 12819-nucleotide long non-coding RNA is filed under the name Homo sapiens (human). RNAcentral's name for it is "non-protein coding lnc-HAAO-7:5". Lineage: Eukaryota; Metazoa; Chordata; Mammalia; Primates; Hominidae. The record is from RNAcentral.
CUUCCAUUUCCCAGAGAGGCCAGAGGCAGAGGGGUGCAGAAGAGAGAGCAGAGCCCCUUUGCCUGGGCACAUCUGGGCUCACUACAUGGGAAAGGGCCCCAGGACAAGGGAAGACGAGAAGAGACAGGCCAGGCCCAAGGAGGGAGAGGACCUGAGAUCGAAGAUAGGAGAGAGGAAGACAAGAAGGAGAAGCAGAAAUGAGAAGGUUGGAGAAAUCCGAAGAGGCAGCUAGGGAGAGUGGGAGGUAGGCAGAGGGCAGGCAGGAGAAAAGAAAUGAUUCUUUUUGAACAGGCCCGCGGCUCCUCCAGCACACUGACUCAAAGAUGUGGGCAGCUGAGCCUGCCUGCUCUGUGCCGUGGCUUUCUCAGUUAGUCCAGGACCACUGGGAGGGGAGUGGUGGACACCCAGCUAGCGCCUCCCCCAUCAGGAGCACCUACAGUCUGUGAUGACUGCCCCCAGCACCCUAAGUCAAUGUUUAACCGUGGCCUGAGCCCAGGAAUGUUCUAUCUGGGACAUGCAAUUACAGGGGGUUGGGUUACAGUCCCACCACUGGCAAGGGCUUGGUGGCAGGAGAUAAGAAGGUGGCACCAGGAAGGGUUGUGUGUGUGCUCAACCGUGGGCUCCCAGCACACCCCCGGGGCCGGCUCACAAGGCUCCAUUGUUGGGGUCUGGCUCCCAGCCCAUCGCCAGCCAGAUAGGAGCUGCUGUUUUGACAAGGCGAGAAAAGCACACCCCAAGUUCGUACAGAUCCCGUACCCCAUUCUUAUCAGGUGGAAGGUAGGGAGCUAGCAAAGCUAAUGUUGAUUUAGAGAAAAAAAAAAAGGAAGAAAUAUUAGCAAUCAUGGGAAAAGUCAGUUCCGGCAGCUGAAGGCAGGGUUGGGAGUGUCAAGGGCUGGGGAAGAGGCCCCACGGUUCUGGUGCUAUGCUGGGUACUAUGGUGCGGGAGUGGAAACCAGGCAUAGCCAUUCUGCUUCCUAGGACUUGAAGUCUAGUUAGGACAAGAAUAGUUCAUUUAUUCACCUAAAUAUGCAGGCUCUGUCGUAGGUGCUGGGGGGAUUCAAGUUGCUGAACUUCUAGUGGAAUGUGCUUAAAAAUAGAGAGCUGUGAACAUCUGCACUUAGCUGGGGGGACAGGGCGAGUGAGACAGAGGGAAGGCGGGGAUCACUCUUGGGUAGACAGGCAAGGCCCUGAAGGCUGAAGGAGAAAUGCAGAUUAUUACCAGGAGGCUGGGUGUGAAUCCCAGCUCCUUCUCCACCAGCGGAUUCUGAGAGAGGAAUUUUGUCUGACUGAGCCGCAAUCUAUAAAAUGAGGAAGACAGGAGAAACUACUUAAGGUGGUUAAAUAGAGGAUUGGAGGAGAGAAGUCAUGCAGGUACUGAGCACAGGUGGCCCCUCUGGAAAUCAGUAUCACAAAUGGGUAAAUCACAGGCAGCUGGUCAUCCAAGCUGGGAGCUAAAGUGUGGUAAACGUGGGCUAGACCCCAAGCUGGUGCUGUAGGCUAGGAUUGGGCUAGUUAGCACAGAGCAGGGACGGCAGCUCUGGGAGAGAAAGGAGGCCAGCCUGCUGUGAGGGUAGGGUCACGUCCCCUCUUUCCCCAGCAUGAGGGGCCGGCACACCACAGACAUAGAGGGCAGCUGCCAUCACCACUCAAAAACUCUGCGACACCAGUUUAAAGUGUGCUGUAAAAUACAGAUUUGGAAGAAAUGAGCUGAGUAGAUCACUUUAAGGAUGAAAAAUCCCUAUAAAAUGUCAGUUUGGGCCGGACGAGGUGGCUCACACCUAUAAUCCCAGCACUUUGGGAGGCCGAGGUGAGCCGGGCAUGGUGGCAGGUGCCUGUAAUCCCAACUACUCAGGAGGCUGCGACAGGAAAAUUGCUUGAACUCAGGAGGCAGAAGUUUCUGUAAACCAAGAUUGCACUACUGCACUCCAGCCUGGGUGACAGAGUGAGACUCAGUCUCAAAAAAAAAAAAAAAAAAAAAAAAAAAAGAAAGAAAAAAAGAAAAAGGAAAAGAAAAGAAAGAAAAUGUGUCAGUUUGGAGACCCACUGAUGAGAAAGAGCCACAGGGUGACCUCCUGUCUUGUGCAUGCAAGUCAUGCACUACUGUAGGUCUGCAACAAAGCUGCCCUGGGCAGACAAGGCAGGGGAGAAAGAGGUUGUGUUAGUCUGCUUAGGCUGCCAUAACAAAAUACCAGACUGGGUGGCUUCGACAACAGACAUUUAUUUCUCACAGUUCUGGGGGCUGAGAAGUCCAAGAUCAAGGUGCUGCCAAUUUGGUUCCUGGUGAAUGAGCAAACAGCACAGAAAAAGAAACAGCAGUAUAUGUGGAAGAAAGCAAGAAAAAUCAACUGGCCUGGAACCUAAGACUUGUCCAAAGAUGUCACAGAGAGUAAAAUGAGAAAAAUCCAGUAGCCCGUGCCCAGAGCAGUUCCUCGUACCCAGCAGAAGGCUAACAAGCCCUGAGAUGAAUGAUGCUCUUCCCAAGGAAGGCAGAGGAGGCGACAGUCCAUUUGCGUUCUCUCCUCUGCAAGUACAGGAUCUCGUUUGAUUCUCAAAACCACCCUAGAGGAGACAGGAGGCACCUGAGGCCCAGAGACGUGAAGCCACCUGUCCAAGGCCAUACAGCAGAUAACUUAUUCUGGAGGAAGACACCUGCCAUGCCGUGAGGACAGUCAAGCAGUUCUGUGGAGAGAUCCAUGUGGUGAGAAACAGGGGCCUCCUGUCAACAGGAAGAACAACCUGGCAGGCCUGUCUUGGAUUCAGAGCCUCCAGCCCCAGUCGAGCCUUCAGAUAACUGCACCCUUGGCUGUCAUCUCAACUGCAAUCUCACGACAGACCCUGAGCUGGAACUACUCUGUUUACCAAUGCCUGGCCCACAGAAAGACUAUGAGAUAAAACAAGUAUAUUGUUUUUAGAAGAUAUGUUUUGGAGUAAUUUAUUAUGCUACAAUAGAUAAUACAGAAUUUGGUGAUUUUAUGAUUCUCAACUCCUGGCCAAAGCAAAGCACACAACAAGUCUCAAAGAAAAGUCUCACAAGUGGAAUUGAAAGUACAAAGCUGGCCAGACAAGCUUGUGCAGACAUGUAUGUGGUGGAGUUGAAAAUCACACACUACGACUCACACAAGUGAGUAAAACCUGCGUCUUUCUUAAUUUUUCUUGUACUCUUCUCAUCUAGAUCUAAUGAGAUACUUCCUGCUGUUGACAGGCAAUAAAUGAAUGAACGACAAAAACAAAACAAAAAGAAAAGAAACAAAACAGAAAGAAAAGAAACAAAACAGAAAGAAAAGAAAGAAACAAAACAGAAAGAAAGAAAAGAAAUCUUUAACUUGCCCACUACAGGUUUCUCUAUUUCUGCAUGUUCAAGCAAAUCUCCUUUCAGCAAAAUACUCAUCGUUUUCUCCCUAUUCCCUCUUCUGCUAGCCAGAUGUCUCUCUUCCUGGUGCAGGGAGACAUUUACAGACCUCAUGGUGGUGGGAAGAGGAGUUCAAGGUCGGUGUGGAGUUCUCUGCAUUCUUCCCACAUACCUUCCCCACACACAAUGGGACAGGGCUGGUCGGGCCUGGUCCCUGGGAUCCCUGGUGGCAUUGGUGAUGGUUGGGGAUGGAGAGGGGUACUGAUGAAGUGAGUGGUCCCCGCACAAGGCUGGUGGUGCAGAUCCUACCUCUGUGUUCUUGAUUUCUCUUUUUUUUUUUUUUUCUUUGAGACAGAGUUUUGCUCUUUUUGCCCAGGCUGGAGUACAAUGGCGUGAUCUCAGCUCAUCACAACCUCCGCCUCCCGGGUUCAAGUGAUUCUCCUGCCUCAGCCUCCCAAGUAGCUGGGAUUACAGGCAUGUGCCACCAUGCCUGGCUAAUUUUGUAUUUUUAGUAGAGACGGGGCUUCUCCAUGUUGGUUAGGCUCGUCUCAAGCUCCCGACCUCAGGUGAUCCACCUGCCUCGGCCUCCCAAAGUUCUGGGAUUACAGGUGUGAGUCACCACACCUGGCCUGUGGCCUUGAUUUCUACCCUUUCCCUGGGACCUAGGACCGCCUGGCUGCAUUCUACCCCUCCAGAAGAGGCAGAGUUCCGAGAGCCACUUCCUAGACUGCUUCUUUAGACAUUUCUAAACUACCUCCUGGGCAGCGCCAUAAUGUGUUACACCUUCCUCAAUCACUGCUUUCUUAAAGGAGUUCACUGAAAUUCCCCACAGCUGUCAUCUGAGAGUCAAAUUCCACCUACCUUGUGCGGUGAAAUUUAGCUGCAAAUGUGGCUGGGGUGUCUCCCACACAGCCCUCUGAGUGUCCACUGGGGUGAGGGACAGAGCUUUUUGCUUCUCACCUUCUCUCUUCCUUGAGUCCUGCUGUUCAGUAGCUGUAUCUCUCCAUCCCGUCCUACCUCAUCCGUCCUGGAUGACUUGCUUCGAUUCAACCCUACACUUACUUCCCCGGGCAAUGAACGUCACCUUAGCCUUCACCCUGAAGGGCUACAGGAGAACGAGAAUUAUAGAAAGUGAAAAUACAUCCCUUUGCUAUUUUAUAAGUGCUAUUUCUAUAACACAUGCAUACCCGAAGCACACACACUUGCAUGCAGAGACCCAGAGACAAGCUGAUUCCAAGACCCCAAACACACUAGAGACACACCACAAACACCCUAGGGCUGAACUGGGGCCUGCUCAGGGAACCCUUGCCUGUGACUUCUCAGUAUCAUCCAAGGGGACCCACCUGCUCCUGGAGCCUCCAGGGGGAUCCCUUGUUUACUCUCAAGAUGAUUGUUCUCACCCCUUCUCUCAAAGGCCCUGGGAGUGAGGCAAAGAGGAGGGAGCGCCACCUCUAAUCAGAUCCUCCUCAGGAUAAAAAAAAAAUCAGCAACUGGAGAUGCCCCUGGCUGGUGGACUACUUCUUUUUUUUUUUUUUUUUUUGAGAUAGAUAGAUAGAGUCUUGCUCUGUUGCACAGGCUGGAGUGCAGUGGCGCAAUCUUGGCUCACUGCAAUCUCCACCUCCCGGGUUCAAGUGAUUAUCCUGCCUCAGCCUCCUGAGUAUCUGGGACUACAGGUGUACGCCACCACGCCCGGCUAAUUUUUGUAUUUCUAGUAGAAAUGGGUUUCACCGUGUUAGCCAGGAUGGUCUUGAAUUCCUGACCUUGUGAUCUGCCCACCUUGGCCUCCCUAAGUGCUGGGAUUAUAGGCAUGAGCCACUGCGCCCAGCUGGACUUCUAUAGCUUCUACUGCCUCCUGUCCCUGCAGGCUCUUAGAUGGGUAUCUGGGCUCAGUCUCCUUUGCUGAGCGCCAGACACCUUGGUCAGCUGCUCCAGGACUCUGUCUGAUUUCCCAAAGGCAUCUCCAAUGCAGCCAUCCCAAACUGACUCAUCCUCUUCCCCAGGACAGAGACAGGCCUCUCUCCAUCAAUCCCUCAUCCUCUGGCCCUCUAUUCUAACUACCCCUCCCUCUCUCUAACACUGCGAUGGGCAGGGGCUUAUCUUCUUCUUCCCACCUGGUCCUCCUGUUUCUACCUGCCUCCAACCCCCUCACGGCAACAGGGGGACUUAUCUUGAUUGGAAAGUGGGUCUCAUGGAUUUGCAGCCUCACGUUGAAAAACCUGUCACCAACUCCCCAGCGCCCACAGGAUCACACCCUUGGGCAGAGCAGUAAGCCCCAUCCUUCCCUGGCCUGGCCCAAGUGCCCCGCACCCAGCUGCAGCCGAGAUGAGAAACCCGAGGCUCAGAGAGGCCCUGUAAUUUGCUCAAGAACAAGAAACCACUACAUCUGAGAUCUUAUCCUUCUGACCCCUCGAUCCGGGUCUUUGCACAGGCAUGGCACCACUCUUGAGUACCCAAGUUAAAAUUCCAGCUCUAUCCUUUAGGAAUUUGACCUUGGCCAAGUUCUCAAAGUCUCCUGUGCCUUACUUUAAAAAAUACGUUUCUUUAAUAAAUGCACCUCAAUAAAGUUAUUGAGGGAUAAUUUACAUACAACAAAUGCACAGAUUUUAUGUGCCCAGCUUGAUGAAUUUUGACAAAUGGAUACCCCCAUGUAAUAACCACACAGUCAAGACGUGGAACAUUGUUCUUACCCCAGAAAGCCCUUCCUUCCGUGCAAACAAAAGGAAGCAAACAAAACUAUCUGCCUCAUAGUGUUAGGAAAAUCGAAUGAGAUAAUACAGGUGAGAUCCUUAGCAAGGCGCCUGGCACGCAGGAAACGCUGGAUAAAUGCAUUGCUAUCAUUCCCUGGCUGUCCCCCUCCUUGACUGGGGCAGGGAUCAGGGCAUAUGCUGAACCAUCUCCCUUCUCCAGCCUAAGGCCAUUUAGCCAGACUAGAAGAAGACUCGGGGGGAUGGAAUAUGUGUCUUGGAGGAGACUUGGAACCAUUUUCGUAAGUCUCCAGAAGCCAUGAUGGGGCUGGGGGUGGAGGAAUUGGCCAGCUUUUGCCUAUGUCUGGCCCAAAGAUAGGGUUUUGCAAUCAUAGCUCACUGAAACCUCAAACUCCUGGGCUCAAGCUGUCCUGUCUCAGCCUUUUGAUUAGCUGGGACUACAGGUAUAUAUGCCGCCAUGCCAUGCUAAUUUUUAAAUUUUUUGUAGAGACGGAGUCUUGCUAUGCUUCCCAGGCUGGCCUCAAACUCCUGGCCUCAAGUGAUCCUCCCGCCUUAGCCUCCCAAAGUAAGCCUGGCCAUCCUCUGUUCUUUUGAGACUCAAAGGAUGAAGGCGCUCAUGGCAGGGCCAGCUUCACAGGUUGGUGACCAAGGCAGCUGCACAGGGCCUUGCUGUCAGAAAGUCCCCACAACUUGGAUUAAUGCUCCCAUGUUAUGUGAAAUCCUUAAUAAUUUUUGAACAAGGGAUCUUGCAUUUUCAUUUUGCACUGGGCCCUGUAAAUUAUGCAGCUGGUGGUGAUGGUGGGGAGGGUGGAGCAAGCUGGCUGGUUUCCUCCCUAGAAAAGCCAGUGCUAUUGCCCUCCCCACUUCCACUCACUGACUACACACAGCUACACAUGCUCAUUCACCUCCAUGGUCCCCUCUCUGUCCCUCUCCACAGUGGGGCAUCUAGGAGAAUCUGGGUCACUCAGGGCCCUCCGCUGCCAGGAGACACCAACAGAACCUGGAAGCCUGCUUGGCCUGGAAACCCCCUUGGGAACAGCUCCUGCUCACAGGGCCUGCUGGGCAGGCCACCCGAAUUCCCAUCCUCUGACACUCCUCUCCAGCCGCCUCCACCCAGCUCUGCAGCUCAAGUGCAAAACCACAGCUGGGUGCCAGCCAAGGGGUCUUGGGUUUCAUCACAUUCAACUUCCCACACCUCGGCCAGAGGCCAGGGUCGAAUGGGGCUGCUGGCCAGAGGCCUGGGCUGGAAGGCAGAGGAGGGGGUGGGGUCCAGUCCUACCCUCGCUUCCUAUCCAUGGCAGAGUACCCCCUCUCUUAGGCCUCAGCUUCCCCUCUAUGUAAUGGGACAGGACUCCACAGGGCUGGAGCAGAUGCCAAGGAUGUCGGGAAGGAAGGCCUCAGAGGCCAAGGCAUCGAAGGAGCUCCUAGAACUUCACUGUCCAAUAUGGUGGCCUCAAGCCUCUCAUAGCCAUUUAAAUUUAAAGGAAUUUAAAGGAAAGAAAAUUCAUAUUUCAGUUCCUCAGUCACUCCAGUCACUUUUUUUUUUUUUUUUUUUUUUUUUUAGAUGGAGUCUUGCUCUGUCACCCAGGCUGGAGUGCAGUGGCACAAUCUCGGCUCAUUGCAACGUCUGCCUCCCGGGUUCAAGCGAUUUUCCCACCUCAGCCUCCUGAGUAGCUGGGAUUACAGGCACAUGCUGCCACACCUGGCUAAUUUUUUUGGUAUUUUUAGUAGAGACUGGGUUUCACCAUGUUGGCCAGGCUGGUCUUGAACUCCUGACCUCAAGUGAUCCACUCCCCUUGGCCUCCCAAAGUGCGGGGAUUACACGUGUGAGCCACUGAGCCUGGCCUCCAGUCACAUUUCAAGUACUCAGUAGGUAGCGACAGGUGGCUCAUGGCCACUGUAUUGAAUAGCACGGAUACAGAACAUCUCCGUCAAUACAGAAAGUUCUACCGAGACGCAUGCCCUGGCUAGGAAAGACCAGGUGCCAGGGACACUAGUAGCUUUACUCUCCUGGGGUGGGGAGCUGGGGCAGGGGGCUGUGAUUGAGAAACACUGGAGACAUCCUCUCACUCCUCUCCCCACCUCACCACGGAUGAGGUGGACUCGCCAUGAGGGGAGCCAGGAGCCUGACACCCAGUACAGGUGUGGACACCCCAGAGGCAGCUUCCAUCCUGACUCCUGGAGUGGAAAGCAGGCUUCCUGGGUCCCUGGGAAGAGGCACUGGGGGAAGCUUCAGAGAGGGAGGAAGUGGCCAGAAGCAGGUGCUCUUCCUAGCAAAGGGCUCCCCAGGAGCUACUUCCAAAUGGGAAACAUCAGCCCUCCCCAAUCCUCACCUCUGGAUGAAUUCCCUGAAGGCUUCAGGAGCAUUUGCAUGUUACAGUACAAUGGUCCUCAAACUUCAGCUUGCAUGGGAAUCCCUGGAAGCUUGCUAAGGCACAGCCAACUAAGUACAAACUUGAAACACGCACACUUCCACUGUCUAUGCGGCAGGCCGAAAUAGGGAUAUCUGGGUUCUGUCCAUCAUAGGGUUCAUUAUUGUGUGGGCCUGUCUGGGGCAGAUCAUUGAAAGAUAUUAGGUUGGUUUUAUCUGGGCAUCUUAGGGAUGCAGCAGAGAGGGUGAUAUGGCAGACCUCAGGAGAGACUGGUUGGGGGAGAGGAAAGAAAGGGGUGGAAGCGAGGGAUGGAGGACAGGGAGGGAGGAGGGAAGAGGGGGAUGGAGUGGGAGCCCGCUCGUGCAUCUCCUGCUGACCUUGUUCUUCCUACCUAUCUUCUCACCUCCUCCUCACAACCACCUUACAAGUCGGCAAAUGUGUGGCUCUGAGAGAUUACACAACCUUGCAGCAGAUACAUGGUCCCUAGGGAGUCAGGCUGGACUCUGUUUCCUCUACCUUUUCUCCCUCCAACUCUGAGUAUUUUCAAACGAAAUAAGCCUGGGAAGCGGGGAAGACUCAGAGCUGUGAAUACAUUUUUUUGUUUUCUGAGCUCAUUCGGCUUUGACAGGAAGCUUGGCUGCGUGCGGGCAGGCGUCUGAGCCCUCCCUCAAUGGUGCUUUUUAGGCAUGCCUUUAUACAGAAUGUAAAGAGUCGCAGUUAUAAAUAUCAGCGGGCUUCUGUGGCCCACUCCGUCCCUCAGCCCCCACGCCCAGCUGGGAUGUCCUGGGACUUCCCGCUUGCCCUCCUCCCCCAACCCCUCCAGCCAGUACCACCCUCAGUGCAUCUGGGAAGGGUGGGAACCGUGAUGCGCCUUGGGCUGGGAAACCAAGGGGGAGUGAAACCCAAAACUGAAUUUCUCCUUUUUCGGAAGAAAGGUUGUUUUCAGUGUCAGGAAACCCAUAAUCCUACAGCCAGCUGUGAAGAUUCCAGAAUGCCUCUCACUUUACAGGUGAGGAACUAGAGGGCCCCCUGGAAAGCUUAUGAACACCCUGACCCCAGAGCUCACCCUCCCUCACUGGGAAAGAAAGUCCCUCUUUUCACUUUGUCACCCCCACCCACCUCCCAAGGCACCCACAGCAUGGUCACUCUUUGAUGACUGUUUGUAUUAUAAGCGGCUCCUCCAACUCUGUUCUACAGUCCCCUCCAUGGAUGCCCUGGAGGGAGGAGGCAGGCGAGACGCGGUCCCAUUUUACAGACGGCCAAAGAGUUGAGUGACUACACAGCUCAUCCCAGGAGAGCUGCCUGGCCCUGCUUCCUGAUAGCCGGCCUGUGCCCCUAGACCUCCCCCGACCCCACAGGCCCCCUCCCCCUCCCUGUAUGCACCCCCUGUCCCCUCACUGAGGCCCAGGAGCACAGUUGAUUUAGAAUUUCCUGCCCUUCUGACAAUCUGCGUGCACAAAACGGGCUUUCUUUAAACCGCUUCGAAGGGCAUCUCCUCCAGCCCCUUCCCCUGCCUUCAUUAAACGCCUCGUCUGAAGCAGGAUAAAUCUUCGGUGAUUAGAAGCAUGCUCCUUGUUCCUGUCCCUGCCCCGAUGGGAAGCGCAUUUCUCAAAGGGUUAAUUAACAGCCUUCACACAGGCCGCAUUUAGCAACGAACACAAAGCCACACACAUAAAUAACGUCUGGGGCGGAAGAAGAGGGUGCAGAUGGUUUGUGACUUUGCCGUCCAGAGUUUUCUAAACCGGUGUGAACCACGUCCUGUCGGGACCAGGACCAUGAGUCAGGGUCAGGCUUUAAGGUGGGCCAGGCCAGAGACGCUAGUGGCCAACUUGGUGCUCUUUGAAAGCAAGUCCUAAAGGAAAACAGAGCGUGGAGCCAAGAUGUGGGGAGAGAGGGAGGGGACGGGGUAGGGAGGAGGGCCUGCUGGCUGACCUGGAGAGAAAAGAGCCAAAGAGAGCCAGAGAUGCGAACCGGGAAGAACCAAGCAGGAGGCCAGAGACAUUGAGUCCCAGCUCCCUGCAAAGUAGUGCUGAAUUUACCAGGGGCUCCACCCAGAAAUUCAGACCCUGGGGCAUAGGGUCCCACUCUGGCCCUGUAGUGAGAGUGAUGGCAAGACAUCCCCAGCCUAAGAGGAGUUGUGUGGGGCUGAGAAAAGGGUUUCAGGAAGGAUAGCCCUGAGGAACCCUGGAAAGUUCUGGAAGUGGCACAGUGAUAUUCGCAGUAUUCCGCCUCAUCCAUGCAUAGGGUCUGUUCCUCUACGCAGCCUUCAGCUCCCCUGGGGGCUCAUAUGCCCCUUCCCAAAGCUAUGGGAACACAUCUGAGGUCUCAAAAUGCAUGGCAACAGGAACACAGGAUUCACUUUACAGAGAUCAGCACUGUUGCAAGGGAUGCCUGAAGCCAAAACAGAGGAAAACGAGAGCCAAGAAGCAGAGGGAGCGAUGCAGAUGUGCACUGGACAUCCACAAACCGCAACAGGAAUGGGGAGAGGAGAGAAGUGAUUGGAAAGCCAGUUUUUGGCAUUCGGCUGGCUGCCAUUCUCUUCACCUUUGUGGUCCCUCCAGUUUGCCCUCCUCAGCCCUAAGGGGUCCUCCCCUACUCGGAGAGGCCCUCACCAUGCUCACUCAGACCCUCUCCUCCUAGGAGCCAGGAGGUGGGACAUGGGGAGGGGGACAGUGAGUCCUGAAUGGAUUUCUGCCCUGGAGGUGAGGGCACCCCUGGUGCCAGGGAGAGGCCCUACCACAGCACAAACUGGGCUGCCCUUCCUGACCCAGGGAUGAACCAGCCUGGGCACUCAGGCCACGGCUGUCUCCCUGUGCCAGGCUCAGCGCCCUGGGGAUGAGGGCGCAAAGAAAGAGACGGGGCCGACAACACAGGCCCAACAGCAGGCCCUGUGUCUGGGAGCGGCAGUUUCUCCCCAAGUAAUUUUCCACAGUUUGGCUUUUCCUCCACACACAGGCUUGCUCACAGAGUUCAGAUGGUGGCUGGUCCUCCAGAGGGUUACUCUGGGCCACUCACCUGCUCGGUGACCCCACCUGCAUUGAUUUCUGCCCUCAUCACUCAGCUGUCUCCAGCUUGCUUCUCAAAGCCCUGUGCCCAUCUCAGGGAUAUGGCUUCUCCAGCCCCCAGAGCUCACUUCACCCCAUCAGGGCCUGGAUCUUGGGUAGUUAUGGGAACCCCUAAAUGCACCAUCCUCUCUGGGCCAGGGCCAACAUUUCUGUUUUCUCAGAAGGAUCAAAGCCCCUUUCCUAGCCCUGCCAGGAGGAAGCAGUUUUGACUCGUGCAAAUAUCUGAAGCCCAUUUGGGAUUUUACUUUGGUGAGAAAUAAAUACACAGCCAUCUGCAAAUGAUGGAAAUAUGACUUAAGUAACUUUUUGGUCGAGGCUCCUGGGCCAGAGGCCAGAUGGAAAUAAGACCUUGUAUCUCAGUCCUCCUUGCACACUUUCAGAAAAAAGAAAAGGCUGGGGGAAAAAGUUGGUGGAAACUGAAGUUCAAAAUGGAGUGUGCUAAAUUUCUUGGCCUGGGAAAGGAAAAAUAAACAUCAAACAGCUACCCCAUUCAAGUGUGCGUUAUCUUGCUCAUCCUCGCCAAGAACUCACCCUCCUCCCUUCUUUGACCGGGAAUUGCUGUGCCCACGAACAGCCCCCACGCCCACCCCUAACCCAGGGCAGGCAAACAAUGGGCCAGAAAACCCUGCUCAGCCAAGGCCUCUCCCCCUGCAGCCCCCAGAGGCCAUAAGAUUGGGAAACACAGGCUAUUUUUAUGUGUUAUUUGUCUACCAACUGUGGCUCCAGGAGCCUGAGCAACAGUAUCAUCUGUGGGAGGUACCAUUGAUUUUUUUGUUUUAACUCGCUCAGACAAAGCCACAUUUUCGCAACUUUCAGAAAAGCCAAAAAAGCAACACUCUGCAAGGCUGACCUCUUCCCUGGCUUGCCUUUCUGCCCUCCAGGGAGCUCUUUCUGGGUGUGUCUGGGCCCCUGUUGCUCUGUGCUGGCCCACACCAAGCACACAGCCCCAGAUCCAGAGGGCCCAAAGGAUAGCCAGUGAAACAAGGAAGGGUGAGGGGGGCAGAGAGAGGAUCUGAGGAGAAGGGGUAGUGUCUCCAACUGGUGAGGGAGGCACAAACCCUGCCCUGGGGGUGCCAGUGUGAUGGAGCAGUGGGGCUAACAGAAGAGUGUGAGAAGUCGCACACAGAGAAAAUGGCUGCUUGAUAGCCAUCCAUCUCCCAAGUCCACGGGUUGGGAUGCUCUGUGCAGCGGGUACACCCAGAGGCAGAUACAGGGCUGAGAGGGUGCAGGCCAGGUGCGACUGCCUAGGCUGGGGCUGAAAGAAUCCAGCUGGCAGAGGUGGCUCACACCUGUAAUCCCAGCACUAUGGGACGCCGAGGCACGAGUCC